Molecule: transfer RNA, 76 nt
Filed under: Thermoprotei archaeon
Lineage: Archaea; Thermoproteati; Thermoproteota; Thermoprotei
Description: tRNA-Asp
Rfam family: tRNA
About the family: Transfer RNA (tRNA) molecules are approximately 80 nucleotides in length. Their secondary structure includes four short double-helical elements and three loops (D, anti-codon, and T loops). Further hydrogen bonds mediate the characteristic L-shaped molecular structure. tRNAs have two regions of fundamental functional importance: the anti-codon, which is responsible for specific mRNA codon recognition, and the 3' end, to which the tRNAs corresponding amino acid is attached (by aminoacyl-tRNA synthetases). tRNAs cope with the degeneracy of the genetic code in two manners: having more than one tRNA (with a specific anti-codon) for a particular amino acid; and 'wobble' base-pairing, i.e. permitting non-standard base-pairing at the 3rd anti-codon position.
Source: RNAcentral
GAACCGGUAGUUUAGCCCGGAAGAAUGCGGGACUGUCACUCCCGUGGCCCGGGUUCAAAUCCCGGCCGGGGCGCCA